AGUGAACGCUGGCGGUAGGCCUAACACAUGCAAGUCGAACGGCAGCACAGUAAGAGCUUGCUCUUACGGGUGGCGAGUGGCGGACGGGUGAGGAAUACAUCGGAAUCUACUUUUUCGUGGGGGAUAACGUAGGGAAACUUACGCUAAUACCGCAUACGACCUACGGGUGAAAGCAGGGGAUCUUCGGACCUUGCGCGAUUGAAUGAGCCGAUGUCGGAUUAGCUAGUUGGCAGGGUAAAGGCCCACCAAGGCGACGAUCCGUAGCUGGUCUGAGAGGAUGAGCAGCCACACUGGAACGGAGACACGGUCCAGACUCCUACGGGAGGCAGCAGUGGGGAAUAUUGGACAAUGGGCGCAAGUCUGAUCCAGCCAUACCGCGUGGGUGAAGAAGGCCUUCGGGUUGUAAAGCCCUUUUGUUGGGAAAGAAAAGCAGCAGGUUAAUACCCCGCUGUUCUGACGGUACCCAAAGAAUAAGCACCGGCUAACUUCGUG
Molecule: ribosomal RNA, 492 nt
Filed under: uncultured bacterium
Lineage: Bacteria
Description: partial 16S ribosomal RNA
Rfam family: Bacterial small subunit ribosomal RNA
Source: RNAcentral